CAAUAGCGUAUAUUAAAGUUGUUGCGGUUAAAAAGCUCGUAGUUGGAUUUCUGCUGAGGACGAUCGGUCCGCCCUCUGGGUGAGUAUCUGGCUCGGCCUUGGCAUCUUCUUGGAGAACGUUACUGCACUUGACUGUGUGGUGCGGUAUCCAGGACUUUUACUUUGAGGAAAUUAGAGUGUUUCAAGCAGGCGCACGCCUUGAAUACAUUAGCAUGGAAUAAUAAGAUAGGACCUUGGUUCUAUUUUGUUGGUUUCUAGAGCUGAGGUAAUGAUUAAUAGGGAUAGUUGGGGGCAUUCGUAUUUAACUGUCAGAGGUGAAAUUCUUGGAUUUGUUAAAGACGGACUGCUGCGAAAGCAUUUGCCAAGGAUGUUUUCAUUGA
This 380-nucleotide ribosomal RNA is filed under the name uncultured eukaryote. Its description in RNAcentral is "partial 18S ribosomal RNA". It matches the Rfam family "Eukaryotic small subunit ribosomal RNA", at positions 592 to 976 of the family's 1831-position model. The record is from RNAcentral.